RNAcentral lists this ribosomal RNA (503 nucleotides) under uncultured bacterium. RNAcentral describes it as "partial 16S ribosomal RNA". It matches the Rfam family "Bacterial small subunit ribosomal RNA", at positions 30 to 523 of the family's 1533-position model. The record is from RNAcentral.
AUUGAACGCUGGCGGCAGGCUUAACACAUGCAAGUCGAGCGGGGUGAUGGUGCUUGCACUAUCACUUAGCGGCGGACGGGUGAGUAAUGCUUAGGAAUCUGCCUAUUAGUGGGAGACAACAUCUCGAAAGGGAUGCUAAUACCGCAUACGUCCUACGGGAGAAAGCAGGGGAUCACUUGUGACCUUGCGCUAAUAGAUGAGCCUAAGUCGGAUUAGCUAGUUGGUGGGGUAAAGGCCUACCAAGGCGACGAUCUGUAGCGGGUCUGAGAGGAUAAGCCGCCACACUGGGACUGGGACACGGCCCAGACUCCUACGGGAGGCAGCAGUGGGGAAUAUUGGACAAUGGGAGGAACCCUGAUCCAGCCAUGCCGCGUGUGUGAAGAAGGCCUUAUGGUUGUAAAGCACUUUAAGCGAGGAGGAGGCUCUUUUGGUUAAUACCCAAGAUGAGUGGACGUUACUCGCAGAAUAAGCACCGGCUAACUCUGUGCCAGCAGCCGCUGUAA